UUACUAGAAGCCAAAAUAGAGGCCUAUCAUUGUUAAUGAUAUCAUUGAAGUUAUAUAUUCCUAGUAAG
This 68-nucleotide transfer RNA is filed under the name Etisus dentatus. RNAcentral describes it as "tRNA-Asn". Lineage: Eukaryota; Metazoa; Arthropoda; Malacostraca; Decapoda; Xanthidae. The record is from RNAcentral.